UACGAGUGCCCCGAGCGUUAUCCGGAAUCAUUGGGCGUAAAGGGUGUGUAGGUGGUCAGAUUAGUCUUGUGUUAAAUUCUUCGGCUUAACCGGGGGCAUGCAUAGGAAACGGUCUGACUUGAGGAUGCGAGAGGUGUGUGGAACUCAUGGUGUAGGGGUGAAAUCCGUUGAUAUCAUGGGGAACACCAAAAGCGAAGGCAGCACACUGGCGCAUUCCUGACACUGAAACACUAAAGCGUGGGUAGCGAAUGGG
Molecule: ribosomal RNA, 253 nt
Filed under: uncultured bacterium
Lineage: Bacteria
Description: partial 16S ribosomal RNA
Rfam family: Bacterial small subunit ribosomal RNA
Source: RNAcentral